AUUGAACGCUGGCGGCAGGCCUAACACAUGCAAGUCGAGCGGAGCGGCGGACGGGUGAGUAAUGCCUAGGAAUCUGCCUGGUAGUGGGGGAUAACGUCCGGAAACGGGCGCUAAUACCGCAUACUAUCAGAUGAGCCUAGGUCGGAUUAGCUAGUUGGUGGGGUAAAGGCCUACCAAGGCGACGAUCCGUAACUGGUCUGAGAGGAUGAACAGUCACCAUGCAAAUGAGACACGGUCCAGAAUCCUACGAGAGACAGACGUGGGGAAUAUUUGACAAGGGGCGAAAGCAGGAUACAGACAUGCCGCGGGUGGGAAGAAGGUCUGCGGAUUUUAAAGCACUUUAAGUUGGGAGGCGUUACCAACAGAAUAAGCACCGGCUAACUUCGUGCAAGAAGCCGCUGUAAUUC
Molecule: ribosomal RNA, 407 nt
Filed under: uncultured bacterium
Lineage: Bacteria
Description: partial 16S ribosomal RNA
Rfam family: Bacterial small subunit ribosomal RNA
Source: RNAcentral